RNAcentral lists this ribosomal RNA (254 nucleotides) under uncultured bacterium. Its description in RNAcentral is "partial 16S ribosomal RNA". It matches the Rfam family "Bacterial small subunit ribosomal RNA", at positions 524 to 776 of the family's 1533-position model. The record is from RNAcentral.
UACGUAGGGUGCAAGCGUUGUCCGGAAUUUAUUGGGCGUAAAGAGCUCGUAGGCGGUCUGUCGCGUCGGCUGUGAAAACUCGGGGCUCAACUCCGAGCUUGCAGUCGAUACGGGCAGGCUAGAGUUCGGCAGGGGAGACUGGAAUUCCUGGUGUAGCGGUGAAAUGCGCAGAUAUCAGGAGGAACACCGGUGGCGAAGGCGGGUCUCUGGGCCGAUACUGACGCUGAGGAGCGAAAGCGUGGGGAGCGAACAGG